This is a long non-coding RNA of Ceratitis capitata (Mediterranean fruit fly), 989 nucleotides long. RefSeq lists it as uncharacterized. The transcript has 3 exons. The record is from RefSeq and is a predicted model, not a curated record. Lineage: Eukaryota; Metazoa; Arthropoda; Insecta; Diptera; Tephritidae.
GAGAAGUGAAAAUGUGCGCGCGUGGGCUUUAAGAGGCUGACAUAAAAUGCUUUACGCAAAAAAGCUUCGAGCAAAACAAACGUAUACUUCACACGCGCGCUAGAGGGCCCUCAACGUCGCCGCACAUGUUGGCCGUGGACUUUAAGUCGAGCCGCAGCCGGAGGGUUGAAGGAUAAAUGCCAACGGCGGCGAAUUGUAAAAGUGCCUGCAGCAUAAUCUUAAACCGCAGGUAAAUAUUUCACAAGAAUAUGUGAGCCUUAUCAAAGCACAAUGUACACAUACACGCGACUAAAAGGGUAUAUACUCCUCGUACGCACAUUUAAAAAUGAACGAGCAACCGCUUGAAAUAUCACUCAUACGCCAGAGUGGCUAAGUGGCCGACAGCGGUGAAAUCUUGACCGUAGCGAUUCGGUGUUGACGGCGAACGUCAAAGGAGUUGCGUAAUUCAGAACAUCUCGCGACUUAUGGAUGCAAAUUAUGUUCUUUACAGUAACCUAAAAAUCUCCAUCUUGGCCAAAAAACGGAGUUAAAUCUGCGAUUAUUUUUUUUUUUACAACUUUCGACGUGAAUUAACUUAUCAACAGUGCAUCGAUGAACUUAAUUCUAUUUUUGGCAUCAGCGAAGAUAUGGAGAUUUUUCUCGAGGCCGUAGAUCUCUUUAAGGGUAAAAAGGCUCUUUGAUUGGUCAAACAAGAGUAAACAAAAUACGAUAGCGGUUCGAUCGUGAUUUGCGCUUACGAUCCCGAAAGUAAACAGCAGCCGACUGCAUGUGUGUCAAAAAAUGAGAACCGCCAGAUACUGAUCACUAUUUACAACGACAAUGUCAAAAUCCCCAUAUCAAGUGAAACAAUCAUUUCCUGUAUAUAAAAAAUAAACUAUGAGGUUAACGUUUUUCGACACCUAAAGAGGCGACUGCUGCGAAUGAUGAACGCAUAUCAGAGUAAAAAAGUUCCUUCGACAAUUGGCUCAAACGCACGCUAAGGUGAAUAA